GGUUGGAGUGCAGAGUCCCUGGCGGCAUUGUCGUCGGGAUAAAGGCUUUGUUUUUCCUUCCUUCUUCUUAGGACGCAAAACACUGGGGCAACUCAGUGGUUCUAUAGGGUUUACUUUGAAUAAAUUAGGGUGUUCAAAGCAGGCGAAUCGCCUUGAAUACAUUAGCAUGGGAUAAUGAAAGAUGACCUUUGGUCUAUACUUUAUUGGUUUCUAAGGCCGAGGUA
Molecule: ribosomal RNA, 224 nt
Filed under: uncultured fungus
Lineage: Eukaryota; Fungi
Description: partial small subunit ribosomal RNA
Rfam family: Eukaryotic small subunit ribosomal RNA
Source: RNAcentral